RNAcentral lists this ribosomal RNA (474 nucleotides) under Streptococcus salivarius. Its description in RNAcentral is "bacterial SSU rRNA". It matches the Rfam family "Bacterial small subunit ribosomal RNA", at positions 28 to 485 of the family's 1533-position model. Lineage: Bacteria; Bacillati; Bacillota; Bacilli; Lactobacillales; Streptococcaceae. The record is from RNAcentral.
GACGAACGCUGGCGGCGUGCCUAAUACAUGCAAGUAGAACGCUGAAGGGAGGAGCUUGCUCUUCUUGGAUGAGUUGCGAACGGGUGAGUAACGCGUAGGUAACCUGCCUUGUAGCGGGGGAUAACUAUUGGAAACGAUAGCUAAUACCGCAUAACAAUGGAUGACCCAUGUCAUUUAUUUGAAAGGGGCAAAUGCUCCACUACAAGAUGGACCUGCGUUGUAUUAGCUAGUAGGUGAGGUAACGGCUCACCUAGGCGACGAUACAUAGCCGACCUGAGAGGGUGAUCGGCCACACUGGGACUGAGACACGGCCCAGACUCCUACGGGAGGCAGCAGUAGGGAAUCUUCGGCAAUGGGGGCAACCCUGACCGAGCAACGCCGCGUGAGUGAAGAAGGUUUUCGGAUCGUAAAGCUCUGUUGUAAGUCAAGAACGAGUGUGAGAGCUGAAAGUUCACGCUGAGACGGUAGCUACCA